This is a non-coding RNA of Theobroma cacao (cacao), 776 nucleotides long. NCBI's taxonomy places the organism in Eukaryota, Viridiplantae, Streptophyta, Magnoliopsida, Malvales, Malvaceae. The record is from RefSeq and is a predicted model, not a curated record.
UCAAGAGUAAAGGGUAUUAUUGAGUUUUUAGUUCUACUCGCCCUUUCUUGCAGAUCCUUUUUCCUUUGUUGAUCCUAUCGACCUUUUCAUGGUCACACCGCCUCGACUCAGGCAUCACAAUCACAAGUCGGUCCUAAUCAAAGAUGCUACUUCCAAGUUCUUCAGCACGGUCAUCAUCCUCUCCGAGAUCAACACGGAUAUGUGAUUUUGGACAUGCUCAAUCACAGAGCUUAACCCGUCUUAUUUGUGCAGCAGCCAACUCAUGGGUAAAUUGCUGAUUGCCUUGGGAUUUGCCAGUGUCUUUCUAAGCUUCUGUCCGUCUUUCUAGGCAUUCAUCCGGUGCAUGGAAGAAAGGUUUGGUAUGAGCAUGGAAUCGGGCCUUUGUCAGCGAAUGGAUUUACGGUCGAAACACCUUGACUCAAUGCAAUGGAGAGUUUCGAUGGUUGCAGUGGAGUUGAAUUAUCCGGUGGACUUUUCUAAGAUUAUGGAAUUCGAAGGGUUUGGAAGACGGGCUAAGGUUACAAGUUUAUGGUUAUCGGAUGUCCCUGCGGGCUGAACACCUUGGCAAACUGGAGGAUAGUUUUCAAGAACCACAAAGCCUAGAAUGUGUUUUUAAUUGUUCUAAAUUAUGUUUUAUUUUAUAUGUACUUGAAGUUUAUGGCUAGAUGGGAGCAGAAAAAGUCUGUCGGUGGAGGAAAAAAGAAGGAAGUGAAGGAGACUGGUUUGGGUCUCUCUUUUACUAAGGAUGAAAAUUUCAAAGAAUGGUACUUUGAGGU